Long non-coding RNA from Pezoporus flaviventris, 1304 nucleotides. RefSeq lists it as uncharacterized. The record is from RefSeq and is a predicted model, not a curated record. The transcript is spliced from 5 exons. NCBI's taxonomy places the organism in Eukaryota, Metazoa, Chordata, Aves, Psittaciformes, Psittacidae.
CUGUGGACUAGUCCAGGAUGGCAAUUUUUAUGCUGUUUCUCCCUGCUAAGCUUGGAAUCAGCCACAGGCUUGUCUCGUAAGCCACUGGCAAUGAUAACAUUUCUCAGAUGUGUUAGCUGUUGGUCUCCUCCCCUGCAAGAAACCAAGCAAUACCCCACAAGCAUUUCUUUUAAUCCUCUUAGCAGUUGUGCAUUAUUUCAUAUGCUCCUGGCAAAAGUAGUUGACUUUUCUGUCCCUUCCUCCCCUAUCCCCUGAAGACACUGGAAGAGGUGAGGAGGAAAUAAGUAAUUAAUGCUGUGUAUCAGUGGUAAGAGGGGCUGUAUGUUUUUCUGCAGUAGGUAAGCAGCAGCAAGGACAUCUCAGAGCUAGAAAAUUAAGGAGGAACAGGAUCUAGCUUUGAGUGUGGAAAAUGCAAAUGGCAGGCCCUGUACACCAACAGCAUCACACCCUGACUGGGGCAUUAAGGCAGAUUUCUGUGGCAGUUUUUCAAGGUAAGCAAUUGCUGUGUUUUUCUCACCAGGAUCAUGGUUAGGACUCCAGCAAGGCUAUGAGGAGGUUAUAAAAGGUGUAUAGUUUUAAUUACAAAUCCACAACCAGGGGAGACAAAUGGACAUUUAAAGAUGACCAAGAACUGGCAUAAAAACUGAAGGAAGUGCUUAUGCAGCAGCACCACCCACAUUCUUCUUGUCACCACGAGUGCAUUGCUUGGCAAGUUGACAUGUACAUGUGCCUGUUCUGGCUUAGAGCACCACCAGGUUGUUUCAUCACAGUUUGUUCUCCCGGGUUUUGCAAACCGUCUGCUGACACUGUCCUGUUGCCUACUCUGUGCUGGGAGAAGUUACUUCAGCUGGUUGUAUCUAAGCAGACUUCUGGUUCUGCGUAGUCUCUUCAUUUUAGUUAAGACACACUGCUGCAGAGACAGCAUUGUAAGGCACCCUGUUCUGUCUCCUCUUCCACAUAUAACUUAACUUCUGCAAGAGGCAAUGACUGAAAUGAUGCUGUGAUAGUCCCUUCUUACUGAAAGCUUCUCUUAUAAGGUAUUCAAGACAAUUCAGUAGUCUCAAUAUGGAUCAGCUCAGAUCCCAUUAGUUAAGCAUGAUACCGGGGGACACUGUCUUCGUACCUGGAACGCCGGAAGAACCCGCACUACAGCAGAGAAGGAAAAGAACAGAUUAGAUUAAAGUUGCUGGCAAAGUACUAUGAUUACAGAGAUAAGUUCUGCACAGUAGAACAACUGCUCCGCUGUGGUUGGCUCUUGGGGCACCAGACACAAAAGUCAUCUCAUCCUGGGAGACAAUUCCUUU